GACGAACGCUGGCGGCGUGCCUAACACAUGCAAGUCGAGCGAGAAUCUCUUAACGGAUCCCUUCGGGGUGAAGAUAAGAGAGGAAAGCGGCGGACGGGUGAGUAACGCGUGAGUAACCUGCCUUCAGGAGGGGGACAACAUUCCGAAAGGGAUGCUAAUACCGCAUGACAUUACAGAGUCGCAUGAUUUUGUAAUCAAAGAUUUAUCGCCUGAAGAUGGACUCGCGUCUGAUUAGAUAGUUGGUGAGGUAACGGCUCACCAAGUCGACGAUCAGUAGCCGAACUGAGAGGUUGAUCGGCCACAUUGGGACUGAGACACGGCCCAGACUCCUACGGGAGGCAGCAGUGGGGGAUAUUGCGCAAUGGGGGCAACCCUGACGCAGCAACGCCGCGUGAAGGAAGAAGGUUUUCGGAUCGUAAACUUCUUUAAAGUGGGGAAGAUAAUGACGGUACCCACAGAAUAAGCCAGGCUAACUACGUAG
Molecule: ribosomal RNA, 481 nt
Filed under: uncultured bacterium
Lineage: Bacteria
Description: bacterial SSU rRNA
Rfam family: Bacterial small subunit ribosomal RNA
Source: RNAcentral